UACGAAGGGUGCAAACGUUGCUCGGAAUUAUUGGGCGUAAAGCGCACGUAGGCGGCUUAGCAAGUCGGACGUGAAAUCCCUCGGCUCAACCAAGGAAGUGCUUUCGAAACUGCUGAGCUUGAGUACGAAAGAGGAUCGCGGAAUUCCCGGUGUAGAGGUGAAAUUCGUAGAUAUCGGGAGGAACACCAGUGGCGAAGGCGGCGAUCUGGGUCGAUACUGACGCUGAGGUGCGAAAGCGUGGGGAGCAAACAGG
This 253-nucleotide ribosomal RNA is filed under the name uncultured bacterium. RNAcentral describes it as "partial 16S ribosomal RNA". It matches the Rfam family "Bacterial small subunit ribosomal RNA", at positions 524 to 776 of the family's 1533-position model. The record is from RNAcentral.